Molecule: non-coding RNA, 23 nt
Filed under: Arabidopsis thaliana (thale cress)
Lineage: Eukaryota; Viridiplantae; Streptophyta; Magnoliopsida; Brassicales; Brassicaceae
Source: RNAcentral
GUCAAGAAUUCAGAAUGUUUCAA